CUAUACAUGCAAGUCGAGCGGAUCUUCAUUAGCUUGCUUUUGAAGAUCAGCGGCGGACGGGUGAGUAACACGUGGGCAACCUGCCUGUAAGACUGGGAUAACUUCGGGAAACCGGAGCUAAUACCGGAUAAUCCUUUCCCUCACAUGAGGGAAAGCUGAAAGACGGUUUCGGCUGUCACUUACAGAUGGGCCCGCGGCGCAUUAGCUAGUUGGUGAGGUAACGGCUCACCAAGGCAACGAUGCGUAGCCGACCUGAGAGGGUGAUCGGCCACACUGGGACUGAGACACGGCCCAGACUCCUACGGGAGGCAGCAGUAGGGAAUCUUCCGCAAUGGACGAAAGUCUGACGGAGCAACGCCGCGUGAACGAUGAAGGCUUUCGGGUCGUAAAGUUCUGUUGUUAGGGAAGAACAAGUACCGGAGUAACUGCCGGUACCUUGACGGUACCUAACCAGAAAGCCACGGCUAACUACGUGCCAGCAGCCGCGGUAAUACGUAGGUGGCAAGCGUUGUCCGGAAUUAUUGGGCGUAAAGCGCGCGCAGGCGGUUCCUUAAGUCUGAUGUGAAAGCCCCCGGCUCAACCGGGGAGGGUCAUUGGAAACUGGGGAACUUGAGUGCAGAAGAGGAGAGCGGAAUUCCACGUGUAGCGGUGAAAUGCGUAGAGAUGUGGAGGAACACCAGUGGCGAAGGCGGCUCUCUGGUCUGUAACUGACGCUGAGGCGCGAAAGCGUGGGGAGCGAACAGGAUUAGAUACCCUGGUAGUCCACGCCGUAAACGAUGAGUGCUAAGUGUUAGAGGGUUUCCGCCCUUUAGUGCUGCAGCAAACGCAUUAAGCACUCCGCCGGGGGAGUACGGCCGCAAGGCUGAAACUCAAAGGAAUUGACGGGGGCCCGCACAAGCGGUGGAGCAUGUGGUUUAAUUCGAAGCAACGCGAAGAACCUUACCAGGUCUUGACAUCCUCUGACAACCCUAGAGAUAGGGCGUUCCCCUUCGGGGGACAGAGUGACAGGUGGUGCAUGGUUGUCGUCAGCUCGUGUCGUGAGAUGUUGGGUUAAGUCCCGCAACGAGCGCAACCCUUGAUCUUAGUUGCCAGCAUUCAGUUGGGCACUCUAAGGUGACUGCCGGUGACAAACCGGAG
RNAcentral lists this ribosomal RNA (1137 nucleotides) under Mesobacillus jeotgali. Its description in RNAcentral is "bacterial SSU rRNA". It matches the Rfam family "Bacterial small subunit ribosomal RNA", at positions 49 to 1168 of the family's 1533-position model. Lineage: Bacteria; Bacillati; Bacillota; Bacilli; Caryophanales; Bacillaceae. The record is from RNAcentral.